UACGGAGGGUGCAAACGUUGCUCGGAAUCAUUGGGCGUAAAGCGCACGUAGGCGGCCCAGCCAGUCGGGUGUGAAAGCCCUCGGCUUAACCGAGGAAGUGCAUUCGAAACUACUGGGCUUGAGUACUGAAGAGGAUCGCGGAAUUCCCGGUGUAGAGGUGAAAUUCGUAGAUAUCGGGAGGAACACCAGUGGCGAAGGCGGCGAUCUGGGCAGAUACUGACGCUGAUGUGCGAAAGCGUGGGGAGCAAACAGG
This 253-nucleotide ribosomal RNA is filed under the name uncultured bacterium. Its description in RNAcentral is "partial 16S ribosomal RNA". It matches the Rfam family "Bacterial small subunit ribosomal RNA", at positions 524 to 776 of the family's 1533-position model. The record is from RNAcentral.